AGGAUGAACGCUGGCGGCGUGCCUAACACAUGCAAGUCGAACGGAUGCCUUCGGGCAUUAGUGGCGCACGGGUGAGUAACACGUGGUUGAUCUACCCUAAAGUAGGGGAUAACGUUCCGAAAGGAAUGCUAAUACCCUAUAAGCUCCCGGACUUUAGAACCCUGGGAGAAAAGUUCCGGCGCUUUAGGAGGAGACUGCGGGCCAUCAGCUCGUUGGUGAGGUAACGGCUUACCAAGGCGACGACGGCUAGGGGGACCUGGAGACGGGUCGCCCCCGACACGUGGAACUGAGACACGGUCCAGACUCCUACGGGAGCAGCAGUGAGGAUAUGCACAAUGGGCGCGAAGUCCGUGAUCGGCAGCGACGUCCGCGUGGGUGAGUUGAAGGGUC
RNAcentral lists this ribosomal RNA (390 nucleotides) under uncultured soil bacterium. Its description in RNAcentral is "bacterial SSU rRNA". It matches the Rfam family "Bacterial small subunit ribosomal RNA", at positions 26 to 417 of the family's 1533-position model. The record is from RNAcentral.